This 2618-nucleotide ribosomal RNA is filed under the name Salmonella enterica subsp. enterica serovar Enteritidis. RNAcentral describes it as "partial 23S ribosomal RNA". It matches the Rfam family "Bacterial large subunit ribosomal RNA". Lineage: Bacteria; Pseudomonadati; Pseudomonadota; Gammaproteobacteria; Enterobacterales; Enterobacteriaceae. The record is from RNAcentral.
AAUCCAUAGGUUAAUGAGGCGAACCGGGGGAACUGAAACAUCUAAGUACCCCGAGGAAAAGAAAUCAACCGAGAUUCCCCCAGUAGCGGCGAGCGAACGGGGAGGAGCCCAGAGCCUGAAUCAGCAUGUGUGUUAGUGGAAGCGUCUGGAAAGGCGCGCGAUACAGGGUGACAGCCCCGUACACAAAAGCGCAUGUGCUGUGAGCUCGAUGAGUAGGGCGGGACACGUGGUAUCCUGUCUGAAUAUGGGGGGACCAUCCUCCAAGGCUAAAUACUCCUGACUGACCGAUAGUGAACCAGUACCGUGAGGGAAAGGCGAAAAGAACCCCGGCGAGGGGAGUGAAAAAGAACCUGAAACCGUGUACGUACAAGCAGUGGGAGCACCCUUUGGGUGUGACUGCGUACCUUUUGUAUAAUGGGUCAGCGACUUAUAUUCUGUAGCAAGGUUAACCGAAUAGGGGAGCCGGAGGGAAACCGAGUCUUAACCGGGCGUUAAGUUGCAGGGUAUAGACCCGAAACCCGGUGAUCUAGCCAUGGGCAGGUUGAAGGUUGGGUAACACUAACUGGAGGACCGAACCGACUAAUGUUGAAAAAUUAGCGGAUGACCUGUGGCUGGGGGUGAAAGGCCAAUCAAACCGGGAGAUAGCUGGUUCUCCCCGAAAGCUAUUUAGGUAGCGCCUCGUGAAUUCAUCUCCGGGGGUAGAGCACUGUUUCGGCUAGGGGGCCAUCCCGGCUUACCAACCCGAUGCAAACUGCGAAUACCGGAGAAUGUUAUCACGGGAGACACACGGCGGGUGCUAACGUCCGUCGUGAAGAGGGAAACAACCCAGACCGCCAGCUAAGGUCCCAAAGUCAUGGUUAAGUGGGAAACGAUGUGGGAAGGCCCAGACAGCCAGGAUGUUGGCUUAGAAGCAGCCAUCAUUUAAAGAAAGCGUAAUAGCUCACUGGUCGAGUCGGCCUGCGCGGAAGAUGUAACGGGGCUAAACCAUGCACCGAAGCUGCGGCAGCGACACUGUGUGUUGUUGGGUAGGGGAGCGUUCUGUAAGCCUGUGAAGGUGUGUCGUGAGGCAUGCUGGAGGUAUCAGAAGUGCGAAUGCUGACAUAAGUAACGAUAAAGCGGGUGAAAAGCCCGCUCGCCGGAAGACCAAGGGUUCCUGUCCAACGUUAAUCGGGGCAGGGUGAGUCGACCCCUAAGGCGAGGCCGAAAGGCGUAGUCGAUGGGAAACGGGUUAAUAUUCCCGUACUUGGUGUUACUGCGAAGGGGGGACGGAGAAGGCUAUGUUGGCCGGGCGACGGUUGUCCCGGUUUAAGUGUGUAGGUGUGUGUUCCAGGUAAAUCCGGUUCACUUUAACACUGAGGCGUGACGACGAGGCACUACGGUGCUGAAGCAACAAAUGCCCUGCUUCCAGGAAAAGCCUCUAAGCAUCAGGUAACAUCAAAUCGUACCCCAAACCGACACAGGUGGUCAGGUAGAGAAUACCAAGGCGCUUGAGAGAACUCGGGUGAAGGAACUAGGCAAAAUGGUGCCGUAACUUCGGGAGAAGGCACGCUGACACGUAGGUGAAGUGAUUUACUCAUGGAGCUGAAGUCAGUCGAAGAUACCAGCUGGCUGCAACUGUUUAUUAAAAACACAGCACUGUGCAAACACGAAAGUGGACGUAUACGGUGUGACGCCUGCCCGGUGCCGGAAGGUUAAUUGAUGGGGUCAGCGCAAGCGAAGCUCCUGAUCGAAGCCCCGGUAAACGGCGGCCGUAACUAUAACGGUCCUAAGGUAGCGAAAUUCCUUGUCGGGUAAGUUCCGACCUGCACGAAUGGCGUAAUGAUGGCCAGGCUGUCUCCACCCGAGACUCAGUGAAAUUGAACUCGCUGUGAAGAUGCAGUGUACCCGCGGCAAGACGGAAAGACCCCGUGAACCUUUACUAUAGCUUGACACUGAACAUUGAGCCUUGAUGUGUAGGAUAGGUGGGAGGCUUUGAAGUGUGGACGCCAGUCUGCAUGGAGCCGACCUUGAAAUACCACCCUUUAAUGUUUGAUGUUCUAACGUGGACCCGUUACCCGGGUUGCGGACAGUGUCUGGUGGGUAGUUUGACUGGGGCGGUCUCCUCCUAAAGAGUAACGGAGGAGCACGAAGGUUGGCUAAUCCUGGUCGGACAUCAGGAGGUUAGUGCAAUGGCAUAAGCCAGCUUGACUGCGAGCGUGACGGCGCGAGCAGGUGCGAAAGCAGGUCAUAGUGAUCCGGUGGUUCUGAAUGGAAGGGCCAUCGCUCAACGGAUAAAAGGUACUCCGGGGAUAACAGGCUGAUACCGCCCAAGAGUUCAUAUCGACGGCGGUGUUUGGCACCUCGAUGUCGGCUCAUCACAUCCUGGGGCUGAAGUAGGUCCCAAGGGUAUGGCUGUUCGCCAUUUAAAGUGGUACGCGAGCUGGGUUUAGAACGUCGUGAGACAGUUCGGUCCCUAUCUGCCGUGGGCGCUGGAGAACUGAGGGGGGCUGCUCCUAGUACGAGAGGACCGGAGUGGACGCAUCACUGGUGUUCGGGUUGUCAUGCCAAUGGCACUGCCCGGUAGCUAAAUGCGGAAGAGAUAAGUGCUGAAAGCAUCUAAGCACGAAACUUGCCCCGAG